Long non-coding RNA from Daphnia pulicaria, 1146 nucleotides. RefSeq lists it as uncharacterized. Lineage: Eukaryota; Metazoa; Arthropoda; Branchiopoda; Diplostraca; Daphniidae. The transcript has 3 exons. The record is from RefSeq and is a predicted model, not a curated record.
CUGGUUGAUGCUGUCCAUAAGAAAAUUAACAUGGCCAACUGUCGCCAGAAUUCUUGCUACCCUUCCUCCGAUUUUAGGUAUGUAGUGGACAAAACGUACAACAGAGGGCAGGAGAAGCAUUCCUAUCAUGUUCCCUAUCAAGUACUGCGUCCGACCAACCGUCCGCCAAUGUUCGUGGAAUGUUUGUGUCUUCUCGACGUCGUAAUUGUUCGUAAUGUUUGGGAAAUUUUCCGUAAAAAAUGUCGUUGAUGAAAGAAAAGAAGAAGAGGCACGAUACAAACUGUUUUAUUUAUGGAUGUGUUGAAUAUGACGAAAACUAUGUCGGUCAUGAGGAUUGGGAAAAAUUGAUUCCCAUGUCUGGGUUUCUACUUGCAAAUUGGCUCUCAUAUCUGUGGUCGUAAUUUUGGCAUCAAACCUCAGGAUGAUCUUCUUUCGAAUCUCUUAAUUGCUCCUAAGCUAAGAGAGUUAGGCAAGAAAUGAUCAUAGCCAUUUACUGGCCCAGUAAAUGUAACCUGUUUGCCAAUUGCUACAAUGGAAAUCAUCGUUCUCAUGCUUCAAAGAAAGGUACUUGUAUUGGAUGUUUUAUAAUCAAAGCAUUAAUUGAUACUAAUUUUCUGCAGACAUACCCAUAAAUUCAACUAGUCCUUGUGAAUACUGUGAUGGAUGAUUCUCAUCUCGGCAUAAGGAUUAGCUUCUCUCAACCUGCUCAUUUAUCCUACUUAACUCUCAACUGAACACAAAACUUCAAGCAUGAGCUCAUUCCUCAAAAGACUUGUUAAGAGAACAACUAAUAUUUUCCAAAGUAAGCUCUGAAGAAGCAAUUCAACAAAUGAGCCAACAGAUGACCACUUCUACAAUUGAGAAAUGCACAUCAAUGGCGUGGAAACCUUCUUGCAAGGUUGACGAAAAAUGCAACUCGAAGCAAAGGUGCGUGAUAUGCAGAUGAUGGUAUCACUCAAUUUUUCGGUUGUCGAGAGGCUAUGAAAAUGCCUUCAAAAAACAUAUUCUUAAACUUCUAAACCUAAAUUGGCAGAUACAUUAUGUUCUGCACCAGGCCAUUUCCAAUUUGCCACUUCUACAUAGCACUCUUCGAAUCUUUUGAGUGUACUAUUGUUUUUUAAAAUAUAAAUUUUGUUGCAUUACAAA